Populus trichocarpa (black cottonwood) is the source of this 139-nucleotide non-coding RNA. NCBI's taxonomy places the organism in Eukaryota, Viridiplantae, Streptophyta, Magnoliopsida, Malpighiales, Salicaceae. The record is from Rfam.
UAAUUUAUUUAAGUCAUAUUAUUAUUUAAUUAUAAUAAUUACAUAUUUAAUUUUUCAGAGAUAUCAAUUAUCACAGGCUCUACUACUUCAAGCCAAUUAUAUGAGAUUUAUAACUUUGAUGACGGGCCGGAAAUUAAUG